RNAcentral lists this transfer RNA (73 nucleotides) under Phakopsora pachyrhizi. Its description in RNAcentral is "tRNA-Sec". It matches the Rfam family "tRNA". From Rfam's summary of the family: Transfer RNA (tRNA) molecules are approximately 80 nucleotides in length. Their secondary structure includes four short double-helical elements and three loops (D, anti-codon, and T loops). Lineage: Eukaryota; Fungi; Basidiomycota; Pucciniomycetes; Pucciniales; Phakopsoraceae. The record is from RNAcentral.
AGGGAUAUAGCUCAAUUGGAGAGUAAUGGUUUUCAACACUGAUGGUUGUGGGUUUCGAAUCCUACUAUCCUGG